Molecule: long non-coding RNA, 325 nt
Filed under: Ricinus communis (castor bean)
Lineage: Eukaryota; Viridiplantae; Streptophyta; Magnoliopsida; Malpighiales; Euphorbiaceae
Description: long non-coding RNA (RCOM_LNC000168)
Source: RNAcentral
AGAUGAAUUUAUUUCUCCUUCACUUUCAUUGGUUCCAGGUGGAGGUGGCUGAGCAGACUGUUGGAGGGGUGGAGGUGGCAGAAGUAAGGUGUGACCUGCAAGGUCUUUUGGUGGGGGCCCUGGAGGAGGAGGUGGUAGAGGUGGAGGAGGCAGUGACACACCCAAGCCUGGUGCAGGAGGCUUUGGUGGCAUUGGAGGAGGAGGAGGGGGUAGUGGCAAUGAAGAAGGUAUAACGGAGCUAUCACCAGUGCCCGAUUGAUUGCUCUCUGGCAAAGGAGGAGGUGGUGGAGGUGGUGGCGGCGGCACUGCUAAAGCAGAAUCAUCU